Molecule: ribosomal RNA, 526 nt
Filed under: Salmonella enterica subsp. enterica serovar Infantis
Lineage: Bacteria; Pseudomonadati; Pseudomonadota; Gammaproteobacteria; Enterobacterales; Enterobacteriaceae
Also listed under: 3 other names
Description: partial 23S ribosomal RNA
Rfam family: Bacterial large subunit ribosomal RNA
Source: RNAcentral
AGACCCGAAACCCGGUGAUCUAGCCAUGGGCAGGUUGAAGGUUGGGUAACACUAACUGGAGGACCGAACCGACUAAUGUUGAAAAAUUAGCGGAUGACCUGUGGCUGGGGGUGAAAGGCCAAUCAAACCGGGAGAUAGCUGGUUCUCCCCGAAAGCUAUUUAGGUAGCGCCUCGUGAAUUCAUCUCCGGGGGUAGAGCACUGUUUCGGCUAGGGGGCCAUCCCGGCUUACCAACCCGAUGCAAACUGCGAAUACCGGAGAAUGUUAUCACGGGAGACACACGGCGGGUGCUAACGUCCGUCGUGAAGAGGGAAACAACCCAGACCGCCAGCUAAGGUCCCAAAGUCAUGGUUAAGUGGGAAACGAUGUGGGAAGGCCCAGACAGCCAGGAUGUUGGCUUAGAAGCAGCCAUCAUUUAAAGAAAGCGUAAUAGCUCACUGGUCGAGUCGGCCUGCGCGGAAGAUGUAACGGGGCUAAACCAUGCACCGAAGCUGCGGCAGCGACACUCAGGUGUUGUUGGGUAGGGG